Molecule: long non-coding RNA, 1139 nt
Organism: Argiope bruennichi
Lineage: Eukaryota; Metazoa; Arthropoda; Arachnida; Araneae; Araneidae
Exons: 3
Source: RefSeq, a predicted model, not a curated record
AACAGCCAAUAAGAAGCUAUCUGAUUCCCGCUCUAAGAACUGUGUUCGGUACUGUACUAGCGUCCCUCGAUGUAAAGCGGCCCAGCCGUUCGUCCAGAUCAUUAAAUUUGUUUAUGUUUAAUUAGUGUGUGAUUCUCUUAAUAUGAGCCAUCUCUACGCAUUAAUCUCAACUGGGCUUUCCCCUAGGGCCCGUGAGAGAUAUUUGAUAUAAUCCGAUUAGUAGAGGCAUGUUUUUCGAGCCAGAGUUAACAUACCUCUACAUGUGGGGGCUCGGUCCGGAGUGCAAUGACCUCGGAAAUAGAAAAAUAAUCUUUGAUCCUGUAAGAAGCUGGGAAUUUCACCAUUAGUUUUCGUCGAAUUAUCUUCGGAUUGGCAGUGGCCGACAAAAUAUUUCAAGAAAAGUCUUCGGAUCAGCAGUGGCCGACAAAAUAUUUCAAGAAAAGUCUUCGGAUCGGCAGUGGCCGACAAAAUAUUUCAAGAAAAUCUUCGGCUCGGCAGUGGUCGACAAAAAUUUUCAAGAAAAUCUUCGGUUCGGCAGUGGUCGACAAAUUUUUCAAGCAAAUCUUCGCUUCGGCAGUGGCCGACAAAUUGUGAAGUUCCUGCAUAUUAUCUCAACGGAUAUAAUUGAAGAAGAACAGGUUUCACUAAUGGGAUGUACUCUGCAGAAAGUCAGCACAUGUUCGUACAGUCAUUACUCAUAACAGAUGCUGUUCACUUCAAUGUAUGCCGUCUUAUUUGGAAGCUUGUGCAACGAUCUUGCCAACGCCGAGCAAGCAUUUCUACCUGAGGACACUUAAAUUUCUCUGAUUUUACUAAGUCUGGUAAAAGAACACAAUGGAGUGCAGCUAGUAAGCUCCAGCCUUGUUUGAUCUGAGCCUGCUGGCUGCUAAAAACUCCAGCUUCAGCUGCCAUCAUUGCUUGGACAACAUCAUCCUUAUUUUUUGCAUCUACACUACCAGGAGUACCAGGAGAUGAGGGCUGAGAAUUCACAGCUUUGCUAUCUGCUCGGCUCAGUCUUCUACAGAACAAAAAAUAUACUUUUAAAUACCUUUCCUGGUCUAAACAAAAACCAUGCAUGAAGAUAAAUAAUUAUAUUAAUAAAAUUUAUAACCGCUAAAACAAAAUACUUACAAACAUCA